CGUAAGGUCAACUAAGUAAGUUGUUAGGUUCAUACCCUAACCAUGGGAGUUCAAGUCUCCCCCUUGCUA
RNAcentral lists this transfer RNA (69 nucleotides) under Haliclystus antarcticus. RNAcentral describes it as "tRNA-Met". It matches the Rfam family "tRNA". Rfam says of the family: Transfer RNA (tRNA) molecules are approximately 80 nucleotides in length. The record is from RNAcentral. Lineage: Eukaryota; Metazoa; Cnidaria; Staurozoa; Stauromedusae; Haliclystidae.